UUCACAUUGUGCUACUGUCUGC
RNAcentral lists this microRNA (22 nucleotides) under Homo sapiens (human). Its description in RNAcentral is "hsa-miR-130a-5p". The record is from RNAcentral. Lineage: Eukaryota; Metazoa; Chordata; Mammalia; Primates; Hominidae.